Molecule: non-coding RNA, 629 nt
Organism: Arachis ipaensis
Lineage: Eukaryota; Viridiplantae; Streptophyta; Magnoliopsida; Fabales; Fabaceae
Source: RefSeq, a predicted model, not a curated record
GUUGCCACCAAGCUGCAGAAGGUUAAUAAGAGUUACCGUACCAGAAGAAACUUGGCAGAUUGUGCUGUGGUGGUGGAGGAACUAUGGUGGAAGGCAUUGGAUUUUGCUGCUCUUAAAAGGAGUUCAAUUUUAUUUUUUGAUGUGGAGAAACAAGAAUCUGCUGUGUCAAGGUGGGCAAGGGCAAGAACAAGAGCAGCUAAGGAUUUGUUAAAUGGCAUUUGUGCUUCCAAGAAAAGCAAUGCUCGAUUUAAAAUAAAUGACAUUUGUGCUUCCAAGCUUCAUUGGCAAUUGCAUUUUGCCAUAGCCAUUGCUUACUCUCCUUUAUUUAGUGAAGCUUUCAUGGCCCAAGACAUUGGUCAAUAAGUGGUUCAAUAUCAAGUGCAAAACUAAUAACUUUCAAGCAGAUGAUGAUGUUGAUGAUGAUGUCCUUUAUCAAGGGAUACUUUUCAGAAUUCAUUCGGUUCUAUGAUUUUGUUUUCUUCAUGUGUCGCGAGACUGGUCAAAAGAAUAUUUGUAAGUAGCCCGGUCAUUUCCUUCAACAUAAUCUUGUAUUGAUUGCGUAUGGUGGUGAAUCAGUAUGCAAAAUCCUUACAUGCUUCUCUUUUUGAAUUAUGAUAAUUUGCAGCUGU